AAUAAAGUGUCUGAUAAAAAGAGUUAUUUUGAUAGAAUAAAAAAUGUAAAGAAUUACCUUUAUUA
This 65-nucleotide transfer RNA is filed under the name Ochthebius hasegawai. Its description in RNAcentral is "tRNA-Ile". Lineage: Eukaryota; Metazoa; Arthropoda; Insecta; Coleoptera; Hydraenidae. The record is from RNAcentral.